Long non-coding RNA from Cyprinus carpio (common carp), 834 nucleotides. Lineage: Eukaryota; Metazoa; Chordata; Actinopteri; Cypriniformes; Cyprinidae. The record is from Ensembl.
UUGUCACGUUUGCGUUCGAUUUUGGGCGCAACAACCACUUCUUCUUCUUCGUCAUCUGCCAUUGGAGCGAUUUUCAAAAUACAAGUAUGUCCACCUUUAAUACUAACAUGCAAUUCUGAUGGGUCUUGCACUUCUUUGGAGUUGUCCCAGCAUGUAAAGACUUCAAACGAAGGUACCACUCCAAAAGUUUUAAUUUUAUUCAAAAUGUUUAUUAUGUUAUGGCUAUGCUUCAUGUUAACACCGAGCACUGAAAUAUUGGUCAAUUUACUGGGACGGUCAGGUGAUGAACGAAGAGACUCGAAAAACCAAAGACUCGAACGGUCCAAACUAAUCAAUUCUUUUUCUUGCUCGGAAUGUUCAAACUGCAUUGGUUAAGCUUAUUGGUCCAUCAUGUCAUCAACGAACGACUCGAAAAUGAUUGGAAACAGGCGAAUUAAUUACAGACAGUGCAGAAUCUAUUGAAUGUUAUGCAUAUGCGCGACUCAACGAGUCACUCCCAGAGACGACGCGUUCUUGCCGAUUCACAUCAAAGAUUUGUUCAAAAAUAACGAAUUGUUAAGGAAGGAACGACCCUUCACUAUGGCGGGAUUAAUGACUAAAUUGUUGCUAAUGGCGGUUCAAAAGCCCUCAAAAAAGGGAAAGCUCAAAGUAAUAAAAUGGCUUCAAAAGAAAAAGCUACUCACAAGCAGAGUACUUUGUUCAAGAUGUGGCCAAAAGAUGAAACUGACCAGGAACAGUAAAAUUUCUGAUGGAUAUAACUGGGUGUGCAGAUCUAAAAAUCAUCGUGGAGUUAAAAGCAGCCGAUCUGUAAGGACAGGAUCUUUAUUUGAAAAA